This 459-nucleotide ribosomal RNA is filed under the name uncultured Treponema sp. RNAcentral describes it as "partial 16S ribosomal RNA". It matches the Rfam family "Bacterial small subunit ribosomal RNA", at positions 341 to 792 of the family's 1533-position model. The record is from RNAcentral. Lineage: Bacteria; Pseudomonadati; Spirochaetota; Spirochaetia; Treponematales; Treponemataceae.
ACGGGAGGCAGCAGCUAAGAAUAUUCCGCAAUGGACGAAAGUCUGACGGAGCGACGCCGCGUGGAUGAUGAAGGUCGGAAGAUUGUAAAAUCCUUUUAAGCAUGAAGAAUAAGCGGGACAGGUAAUGGUUCCGUGGUGACGGUAGUGCUUGAAUAAGCAACGGCUAAUUACGUGCCAGCAGCCGCGGUAAUACGUAAGUUGCGAGCGUUGUUCGGAAUUAUUGGGCGUAAAGGGCAUGUAGGCGGAUAUGCAAGCUUGGUGUGAAAGGCGGGAGCUCAACUCCCGAACUGCGUUGAGAACUGCAUAACUAGAGUGACUGAGGGGCAGGCAGAAUUCCAGGUGUAGGGGUGAAAUCUGUAGAUAUCUGGAAGAAUACCAAUGGCGAAGGCAGCCUGCCAGCAGAUGACUGACGCUGAGGUGCGAAGGUGCGGGGAGCAAACAGGAUUAGAUACCCUGGUA